This 296-nucleotide ribosomal RNA is filed under the name Lepthyphantes hamifer. RNAcentral describes it as "partial 28S ribosomal RNA". It matches the Rfam family "Eukaryotic large subunit ribosomal RNA", at positions 681 to 946 of the family's 3401-position model. The record is from RNAcentral. Lineage: Eukaryota; Metazoa; Arthropoda; Arachnida; Araneae; Linyphiidae.
UGUGUGCGAGUCAUGGGUCUCGAUUAAGCCCAGAGGCGCAAUGAAAGCGAAGGCCGGAGGACUCCGGCCGUGUCGGGAUCCCCGCUCCCUCGCGUGCGGGGCGCACCGACGACCCGCCCCGAUCCGCUCGCGGAUGAGGCGGAGUCCGAGCGCACACGUUGUGACCCGAAAGAUGGUGAGCUAUGCCUGGACAGGACGAGGCCAGAGGAAACUCUGGUGGAGGUCCGUAGCGAUUCUGACGUGCAAAUCGAUCGUCAGAUCUGGGUCUAGGGGCGAAAGACUAAUCGAACCAUCUA